AUUGAACGCUGGCGGCAGGCCUAACACAUGCAAGUCGAACGAGUGGCGGACGGGUGAGUAAUGUCUGGGAAACUGUCCGAUGGAGGGGGAUAACUACUGGAAACGGUAGCUAAUACCGCAUACCAUCGGAUGUGCCCAGAUGGGAUUAGCUAGUAGGUGGGGUAACGGCUCACCUAGGCGACGAUCCCUAGCUGGUCUGAGAGGAUGACCAGCCCCACUGGAACUGAGACACGGUCCAGACUCCUACGAGUGGCAGCGGUGGGAAAAAUUGCACAAUGGGCACAAGCCUGGUGCAGCCGUGCAGCGGGUGUGAAGAAGGCCUUCGGGUUGUAAAGUGCUUUCAGCGAGUGGGCGUUACUCGCAGAAGAAGCACCGGCUAACUCCGUGCCAGCAGCCGCGGUAAUAC
This 406-nucleotide ribosomal RNA is filed under the name uncultured bacterium. Its description in RNAcentral is "partial 16S ribosomal RNA". It matches the Rfam family "Bacterial small subunit ribosomal RNA", at positions 30 to 526 of the family's 1533-position model. The record is from RNAcentral.